This 770-nucleotide ribosomal RNA is filed under the name uncultured bacterium. RNAcentral describes it as "bacterial SSU rRNA". It matches the Rfam family "Bacterial small subunit ribosomal RNA", at positions 29 to 819 of the family's 1533-position model. The record is from RNAcentral.
GCGACGCUGGCGGCGUGCUACACAUGCAAGUCGAGCGAUGAAAUCCCUUCGGGGAUGGAUUAGCGGCGGACGGGUGAGUAACACGUGGGCAACCUGCCUCAAAGAGGGGAAUAGCCUCCCGAAAGGGAGAUUAAUACCGCAUAAAGUUAUGGAAUCGCAUGGUUCUGUAAUCAAAGGAGCAAUCCGCUUUGAGAUGGGCCCGCGGCGCAUUAGCUAGUUGGUAAGGUAAAGGCUUACCAAGGCGACGAUGCGUAGCCGACCUGAGAGGGUGAUCGGCCACAUUGGAACUGAGACACGGUCCAGACUCCUACGGGAGGCAGCAGUGGGGAAUAUUGCGCAAUGGGGGAAACCCUGACGCAGCAACGCCGCGUGAGUGAUGAAGGCCUUAGGGUUGUAAAGCUCUGUUAUCUGGGACGAUAAUGACGGUACCAGAGGAGGAAGCCACGGCUAACUACGUGCCAGCAGCCGCGGUAAUACGUAGGUGGCGAGCGUUGUCCGGAUUUACUGGGCGUAAAGAGUGCGUAGGCGGAUGUUUAAGUGAGAUGUGAAAUACCCGAGCUCAACUUGGGUGCUGCAUUUCAAACUGGGCAUCUAGAGUGCAGGAGAGGAAAGCGGAAUUCCUAGUGUAGCGGUGAAAUGCGUAGAGAUUAGGAAGAACACCAGUGGCGAAGGCGGCUUUCUGGACUGUAACUGACGCUGAGGCACGAAAGCGUGGGGAGCAAACAGGAUUAGAUACCCUGGUAGUCCACGCCGUAAACGAUGGGUACUAG